CAAGAAUUCAGAUGAAGGACAGUUUACAAAGGACAAGAAUUGGAACAUGAACUUACUGGGAAUUCUUCUGACUUUCAUCCUCACCAUUCUAGCACUUGCCACCAUAGUAGCUCUACUCCUGAAAUAUAUACAACGCAAGAAAAACUUGUUUGGACCUUGCAAUGCAGAACAACAAGAAUGUCUUCUGCAUUGCCAGGAACAGAGAGCUCUAUGUGACAGUUCCAUCUGCCCGACAGAGACCAGUUUUCUCCAACAACUGGCAUCCUUACCACAAGCACAAUCUACGAAGUCCCUCUACCUUCCAAGUGACACAGGAAUGUUUAGAAGAUCAGUAUCACCAGAUCUAUCACAGAAGACACAAAAAUGCAUAUGUAUUUCUCAAGGAACCAUGACUCUGCCUUAUGGAGCCAUUGGUAAGUUAUUUCUUCAUCUUUCUCUGUUCUGGUAUUUUUACGGUAUAAGAGGGACCUUUCUCUGCCAUGACUGUUCCUGUUUCCAGGCAAUACAGAGGCUUCAGGUUCAAUUGCUCUUGCUUCCCCAUUACACAUAUUUCUCUAAUUAUUACUAAGUCUGUAGAAAAUGGAAAUCUUUCUGAUUAAUACAAAGAAGAAAGGCCAGUGGAAUGUCACUGUGGCAGUGGUAAAGAAGUUUAUCAAUAACCAACAAGGUUGUCCAGAAGGAAUAAAUCUUGGGCAAAUUGUUUAAUCUCCCUAGGC
Molecule: long non-coding RNA, 716 nt
Filed under: Monodelphis domestica (gray short-tailed opossum)
Lineage: Eukaryota; Metazoa; Chordata; Mammalia; Didelphimorphia; Didelphidae
Description: lncRNA (ENSMODG00000037313.1)
Source: RNAcentral